AGAGCAGCGCGCGGGGCAGACCUCCUCGGGUCCUCCGGCGCUUCGGUCUCCGGAGACGCCCGGCCUCCUGAAGGGUUCGGCUUGUCCUCCUCUGGCGCUCAGCUCCCUCUGGCGGCCGGGCUGGCAGGACCUCAGCGCCCAGCCCUUCCGUCUUGUUACGUCCAGGGUCUCACUCUGUGUCUCAGGCUGGAGUACAGUGGUGCAAUUGUAGAUGGCUGCAGCCCUCGACCUCCUGGGCUCAAGUGAUCCUCCUGCCUUAGCCUCUCGAGUAGCUGGGAGUACAGAUGCACACCACCACACCCAGCCUAGAAUGAAGAAACCUGCAGUUGGGAAGCAUGAAUUUACCACCUAUUAAGAUCUGGCUGCUGUGUGGAGAAAGAGUGAAGAUACGGAAGUUGGAGGUUCUCGUAGCAAUGCAGAAUUGUGGCUUGCAUUGUAAGAGGAGCCUGUGAAUUCAGAGGCAAGUCUGCUGAGGACCGAAUGUUCCUGUCCAUAAAAACAGAAGUCUGGCCUGGGCUCCUCUCUUGGGUGAAUUUGCAAUGCCAGAUCCUCUCUAUCAGUUUGGUUUUGUUUCUUGUAUCUCUGGGAAGGCAGGCAGACAGCACGGUCACCUGUGAAUGCAGCUACAAUUGGCUUAGCUGCCUCACUGAUAAAUGUGCCCCCAGUAAGCUACAAAGGGAUUACCAGCGUUCUCAGCAGCUAAAGGAACUGGUGAAGAUUUCCCCAGCAAAAAGUAGAAGCUCAGUGUUUCAUAGAUGAAGACUGGGGAGAUUGCAAAAGACCCAUCCAGCAGUGGUUCUCAGACCUCAGUGUGCAUCAGAAUCACCUGGAAGGCUUGUGAAAACACGUAUUGCUGGGCCACACCCCCAGAAUUUCUGGAUCAGUAAAGCUGGGAUUCUUACUUUGAGUAGCCAACUUGCAGAAUACAAUAGAAUUUUGGGAGGAGCCCCUCGAUGCCUGGCUUUACUGUUGGAGAGACAGUACAGUAUACACCAGAUGACUUAUUUGUGAACCAUGGAAACGUUUGGAAAAGAGUCUCACUUUGUCGCCCAGGCUGGAGUACAGUGGUGCGAUCUUGGCUCUCUGCAACCUCUGCCUCCCAGGUUCAAGUAAUUCUCCUGCCUCAGCCUCCCGAGUAGCUGGUACUACAGGCACACAUUUGUAGAGAUGGUGUUUCCCCAUGUCAUCCAGGCUGGUCUGGAACUCCUGGGAUCAAGUAAUCCACCCGCCUCGGCCUCCCAAAGUGCUGGGAUUACAGACGUGAGCCACCACGCCCUGCCAAUAAAAAGAUUAUCUCCAGA
This 1301-nucleotide long non-coding RNA is filed under the name Homo sapiens (human). RNAcentral's name for it is "long intergenic non-protein coding RNA 466". Lineage: Eukaryota; Metazoa; Chordata; Mammalia; Primates; Hominidae. The record is from RNAcentral.